GCCAGUGUGGCAUAGUGGCUUGAGUGUUGGACAAUGACUCAGGAGACCAGGGUUCGAUUCCCUGCUUGGCCA
Molecule: transfer RNA, 72 nt
Filed under: Phrynosoma platyrhinos (Desert horned lizard)
Lineage: Eukaryota; Metazoa; Chordata; Lepidosauria; Squamata; Phrynosomatidae
Description: tRNA-OTHER
Source: RNAcentral